AGCUCCAAUAGCGUAUAUUAAAGUUGUUGCAGUUAAAAAGCUCGUAGUUGAAUUUCUGAUAGAAGGGAGCGGUUCCGCAUUCUUGCGGAUACUGGCUCGUCUUCCGUCAUCCUUGGGCUUAGUCUCGCUGAUAUUAACUUAUCGGCGUGGACGAUGCCCAUCGUUUACUGUGAGCAAAUUAGAGUGUUCAAAGCAGGCAUUUUGCCAUUGAAUAUAUUAGCAUGGAAUAAUAAGAUAGGAUUUCACGAUUUUAUUUUGUUGGUUUGCGUUGUGAAAUAAUGAUUAAGAGGGACAGUUGUGAGUAUUCGUAUUCAGAUGUCAGAGGUGAAAUUCUUAGAUUAUCGGAAGACGAACGACUGCGAAAGCAUUUACCAAGGAUGUUUUCA
RNAcentral lists this ribosomal RNA (386 nucleotides) under uncultured marine Chaetocerotaceae. RNAcentral describes it as "SSU rRNA". It matches the Rfam family "Eukaryotic small subunit ribosomal RNA", at positions 587 to 972 of the family's 1831-position model. The record is from RNAcentral. Lineage: Eukaryota; Bacillariophyta; Thalassiosirophyceae; Chaetocerotales; Chaetocerotaceae.